CACGUAGGGGGCGAGCGUUGUCCGGAUUUAUUGGGCGUAAAGAGCUCGUAGGCGGCUCAGUAAGUCGGGUGUGAAAACUCCAGGCUCAACCUGGAGACGCCACCCGAUACUGCUGUGGCUAGAGUCCGGUAGGGGAGCAUGGAAUUCCUGGUGUAGCGGUGAAAUGCGCAGAUAUCAGGAGGAACACCGGUGGCGAAGGCGGUUCUCUGGGCAUUACCUGACGCUGAGGAGCGAAAGCAUGGGGAGCGAACAGG
This 254-nucleotide ribosomal RNA is filed under the name uncultured bacterium. RNAcentral describes it as "partial 16S ribosomal RNA". It matches the Rfam family "Bacterial small subunit ribosomal RNA", at positions 524 to 776 of the family's 1533-position model. The record is from RNAcentral.